AAGUCGUAACAAGGUUUCCGUAGGUGAACCUGCGGAAGGAUCAUUAUUGGAAAAAAAAAACCUAAUUCAAGUUUUUUUUUGGAUAUCCCAUUGUUUAUCUACCCUGUUGCUUCUACUGGACUUGUUUUAUCUUUUAGGUGAAACCUCAGGCUUGUGUGAACCACACUUGUCAGAGAGCUGCCAGUAGCAAGACCACUAACUAAAACUUGCCUUGAAAUAUAUUAUAGUCUGAAUUUUUUGUCUUGAAUGAAAUAAAACUUUCAACAACGGAUCUCUAGGCUCUUGCAUCGAUGAAGAACGCAGUGAAAUGCGAUAAGUAAUGUGAAUUGCAGAAUCUCGUGAAUCAUUGAAUCUUUGAACGCACAUUGCGCCCUAUGGUAUUCCAUAGGGCAUACCUGUUUGAGCGUCAGCUCCCCACACUCUCAAGCACUAUUUUGUAGUGCUUGGAUUUGUUUGGAGAGGCACCUCUUUUUUGUAGAGGUACCCUUCAGAAAUAUAUAGGGCAGUAUGGUUUAUAUCUGAACUAGGCGUAAUAAUGAUAAAGUCGCUGAAUUCACCAUGAUUGUAUUUGCCUUAACCCACCCAUUGU
Molecule: ribosomal RNA, 589 nt
Filed under: uncultured fungus
Lineage: Eukaryota; Fungi
Also listed under: 1 other name
Description: eukaryotic LSU rRNA
Rfam family: 5.8S ribosomal RNA (bases 256-409)
Source: RNAcentral